RNAcentral lists this ribosomal RNA (497 nucleotides) under uncultured bacterium. RNAcentral describes it as "partial 16S ribosomal RNA". It matches the Rfam family "Bacterial small subunit ribosomal RNA", at positions 28 to 507 of the family's 1533-position model. The record is from RNAcentral.
GAUGAACGCUGGCGGCGUGCCUAAUACAUGCAAGUCGAGCGAACAGAUAAGGAGCUUGCUCCUUUGACGUUAGCGGCGGACGGGUGAGUAACACGUGGGUAACCUACCUAUAAGACUGGGAUAACUUCGGGAAACCGGAGCUAAUACCGGAUAACAUUUGGAACCGCAUGGUUCUAAAGUGAAAGAUGGUUUUGCUAUCACUUAUAGAUGGACCCGCGCCGUAUUAGCUAGUUGGUAAGGUAACGGCUUACCAAGGCGACGAUACGUAGCCGACCUGAGAGGGUGAUCGGCCACACUGGAACUGAGACACGGUCCAGACUCCUACGGGAGGCAGCAGUAGGGAAUCUUCCGCAAUGGGCGAAAGCCUGACGGAGCAACGCCGCUUGAGUGAUGAAGGGUUUCGGCUCGUAAAACUCUGUUAUUAGGGAAGAACAAAUGUGUAAGUAACUGUGCACGUCUUGACGGUACCUAAUCAGAAAGCCACGGCUAACUACGUG